CACGGGGUUGCGAGCGUUGUCCGGAAUUACUAGGCGUAAAGGGCAGGCAGGCGGAUCCAUAAGUUUAUCGUUUAAGGCGUCGGCUUAACCGGCGUAGGGCGGUAGAUACUGUGGAUCUGGAAUGCGGUUGGGGAAGACAGAAUUCCUGGUAUAGCGGUGGAAUGCGCAGAGAUCAGGAGGAAUACCGAAGGCGAAGGCAGUCUUCCAAGCCGUUAUUGACGCUCAACUGCGAAGGUGUGGGUAUCAAACAGGAUUAGAUACCCCGUAGUCCCUGAG
This 276-nucleotide ribosomal RNA is filed under the name uncultured prokaryote. RNAcentral describes it as "partial 16S ribosomal RNA". It matches the Rfam family "Bacterial small subunit ribosomal RNA", at positions 524 to 801 of the family's 1533-position model. The record is from RNAcentral.